AUGCGUUUACUGUGUUCUAAGACUUUUUUGAUGUGUCUGUCUCCUUCCCUGCCUACCUACCUGCCUACCUGUCAUCUAUUUAUCCAUCUUUGCCAUUCCUUGAGAACUAAAACUCUGCCUGAGUUUUUUUUUUUUAACGUUUAUUCAUUUUUGAGAGAGAAAGAAAGCACACAUGCGAGCAGGGGAGGGGCAGAGAGAGGGAGAGAGAAUCCCAAGCAGGCUCCUCACUGUCGGCACAGAGCCUGACGCGGGGCUUGAGCUCACGAACCAUGAGAUCUUGACCUGAGCUGAAAUGGAGAGUCAGAUGCUUAAGUGAUUGAACCAUCCACAUGCCUCCUCCACGUGAGUUUUGAACCUUUAAGACCAGAACUCAGUCCACUGAGUUAUCAUAUUCAUCAAAUUUUAAUGAUGGUUAUAUAUUCUCAAAAAAGAAUUAAAAGUGUUACUUUCUGUGUAGUGUGCUCUUCUCACUACAGAGUAUUGUUUCUUUUAUUUCUAACUUAUAUGUAUUUAUAAGGAAGUAACCAUGCUGAUAAAAUAGUGAUAAUUAAGAAAUUUGAUUUUCUUGGACUAUUAUUUAGCUCACUAAAGAAAAGGAGAAUUACAGAAGGAAUUUUAUGAAUCCUAUCUUCAUGAGUCAGGGCUUUUGCAAUGCUAGGGCUUUUCAGCUUCAAUUUCUCUCUUGCAAGGUUAAAAGAAUCAUUCUUGUGUUAGCGCACCAAUACUGUGUUUGAUCAUCCUGUCUUGCUUAUAACAUAGCCUCUGUGACUUACGGAACAUUGGAUUUGCUAUAGUAGAUCAGUCUGAAUUUGUCUCUGCAUGGGGUGAAUAGACUGAAUUGGCCUCAAAGUUCCACUACAGAUCCUUCGUCCAGUCUUCCAGUUUGAAUUGGAAAUUACAAAUCCUUCGUCCAGUCUUUGAGUUUGAACUGGAAACAUCUUUCAAGCAGCUCAUAAGUUGUUUCGCGUUUCAGCCAGUUGUCACAGCCACAACCAGCAAAGGAGCAAGUUCUGGUAGAGACUUGUCUGUGAAGGAGGCCAGGUUUGUGUUAUAUCUAGGUGAGUUUUGAAAACUUAGGUUUUGUUUUUUCUUCAAGUAAACUUUGAUCCCAUUUAUUUAGAAGCCAGAUACGUUCCAAGAAACUAAAAUAGCUUAAGUCCUUUUUUUAUUGCAUAGGGAAGACUUUUAUGCUUUUAAAACUUGAAUCAGUACUUUUUUUUUUUUUUUAACUUUAUACACAGUUUUCAUGAGUUUUCUUGUAUGUUGUUAUAGUCAAGAUUGAAGAUAGGAAUUCGGAGGUGGGGGUGAGUAGUGGUAGGAGCACUGAGAAAUGAGCGGGGCAUCAUACCUGGAAGAGAAGAAGGGACUAGACUGGUCCAGGGGCAUUUGGGGGGGGGGGGUGGUAACGAUCCCUGAGUCAGUAAUAACUUCUGAGGGUAUCAUAACAUUAUGUUAUAGUAAGAAAAUUAGUGUUAGAAAUUACAAAUUUUUGAAAAAGGGUUAUGUUUUAUAUAUUUUGUUAAAGAAAUCAGGGACUAUAUUGGGGCAAUCAUCAAAGUUACUAAAACUUUAACCUAAUUUUUAAAAUGAUACGAGCAAACAUUUGUCACCUAUUUGAAUUGCCUCCUUCACUGAUUGUGCUGCAUAAUUCAGAGAUUACCACUUACACUUUACUUGGUAAAUGUUCAUCGUGUGCGAGAAGUGACAUGGGGACUUCUCCACUCUGUGGUCCCAUGGUUUCAGGUCUGUCUCUCUACCUGCAACCAAACUUUACGUUGUAGGCCUGUCUUCAAGACGUUCACGUUUAGCGCCUUUUUCUCCUGUGGGAACCUGCUACCUGCUGUCACUCAAAUGCAUUUGUGGAAAAAGAGCGAAUCAUAGAACAUUUGGGGAAACAUCCGAAGGGUCCGUGGGCUGGGAAAACUUACCUUCUUAAGAUGAAAACAUGGGGACUGAUUCAAGAGUGUCUUUUGGGAAUAGUUCAUUCCCUCUUGGGCUGCGUAAAUGCUAUUCCUCUCUGUGAAGUGUAGGAAUUAACCUAUUAAUUCUUACUGUUGAUGCCGCCUUUCUAACUGUGGUGCUGGAAGUGUCUGAGAACCACCACCCUGCCUGUUAGAGGGCGGACCUCUGCCCACAGAGCGUACCUUCCACCCAUUCGUAAAGCAUAUCUGUAAGUGACGGGCUUGCUCUGCUCUCUGUAUUUAAGAACUCUUGGGAUGGGAAAAAGGAGCUUUCCCACAUUUUAAAUUUGUAAUAAAGGCGUUGAAAAGCCUUGUGUCUUUGUAAAG
RNAcentral lists this long non-coding RNA (2288 nucleotides) under Felis catus (domestic cat). RNAcentral describes it as "lncRNA (ENSFCAG00000047470.1)". The record is from RNAcentral. Lineage: Eukaryota; Metazoa; Chordata; Mammalia; Carnivora; Felidae.